GAUAAAUAUUGUCUUGAGCUUUUUGCUCUAACAAAAAAUCACUUCACUUGCAUAUAAAUGUAAUUGUUGAAGCCUUAAUUAUCAUUUUGAGUUAAACUCAAAAUAAGAAAGUGUCUAAAGUGUCAGAAAAGAAUGGUUGCGAAAUGUGUCAGAAAACUUAUGUUCAUAAUGAUAGAAUUUCUUAUCCUUAUUCUCCUAAGUAUGCAAGCCAAUGAUUGUGCCCCUACCUCAUUCUUUCUGUCUCUACCUCCCAUCAUGCCUUCUGAUUCCUCAAAACUUCUUGGUGAAAUUUUCUUUUGCCUUCAUGAAGAUAUUGAAUACAAUUGCGCAAAAAUUAAAAACACAUGGCCAUCUCCUGACUUUGAAUAUGAAACUUGUAUUUUUCUUAGUUUUAAAUACUGCUUACAUAAGUAUUUUCAUGAAGACCGAUUAGGGUAUCAUGUCAUUUCAUCUUGCAUCAGAAAGGAUUGCCUCCCAAAAUCAAUAAUUGGAGCCAUCGUUACUCGAAGUGUCCAAUUCGUGAGUUGUUUAUUGGAAUGUUAUAAAGAAUAUCUCGAGAAAGCCUUACGGCUUUAAAACCAUGUUUUAUAGAGGAUCCAAGAUUAGAGGAUGGACAAGCAGAUCAGGAGGUAAUCGCAACUACUUAUAUCAUUAUGGUUACUGUGUUAAUUUAUGCUUGGGGGACUUCAUGUGGUUAUGCUGACAAUGGAUAUAUGGCACUUAGUACCCUUUUGCAUUAUACUGAAGUUAUUUACUAUUUAAUAAGGACUUAUAUUAAGAUAUGAUUUAGACUUGGUAUGUGUUUGCACUUAUCGACUUAUGAAUCGCAUGUAAUGUUAUGGUAUUAUAUGAUGGCUAUUAUUUAGAUGCUC
Molecule: long non-coding RNA, 872 nt
Organism: Alnus glutinosa
Lineage: Eukaryota; Viridiplantae; Streptophyta; Magnoliopsida; Fagales; Betulaceae
Exons: 2
Source: RefSeq, a predicted model, not a curated record